Zootoca vivipara (common lizard) is the source of this 2842-nucleotide non-coding RNA. Lineage: Eukaryota; Metazoa; Chordata; Lepidosauria; Squamata; Lacertidae. The record is from RefSeq and is a predicted model, not a curated record.
GGCCAGAGUUCUUUGCAGAUGGCCUCAGGGGGGAUGGCAGGCAUCCUUUGCAGGACACUUCUCUUCAUCUUCGCACUUUUGCCUUGUGCUGUCACAGGUACCCAUCUGGCUAUCAAUGGCCACACUGCUGACUACCAGCUGUCAACAAAGCCAGGCGUAGCAGAGUCCCUCGUGUGCAUAGUGCACAACAACAGCCAGGGAGAAGAGCUGCUCUGGUUCCGAGGGGACACACAGGUCGACCUGAAAGAUGGAAACAAAGUCAAUGCCAGCAGCGUCUGCAUCUACCCCGUCGCUGUGGAUGACAACGAAGUUUCCUUUACCUGCAAGUUGGCCCGAGAUGGAUCUGUCAUGAUCUCUGUGGUCCUGGAUGUCCGUUUCCCCCCCAUCCUCAGCGGAGAAGACCCUCCCCCACAGGAAGAGCAGGCCGAUGUGACACUGGAUUGUCACACAAAGGCCAACCCUCCUGCUCAGAUGGCCUGGUAUAAGGACAACAGCAUUCUGACCCUGGAGAAAUCCCGUUACCACAUCUAUCAGACCAGCGAGCUCUUUCAAUUGACCAUUGCAAAGGCCCAGAUAUCCGACAAUGGGAUAUACACCUGUGUGGCUAGUUUGGAUGGGAUAACAGAGAAGAUGGAUUUCCACCUGACUGUUGAAGAAGGGAAGCUCCCUUUCCCAACAGAGGCUGUCAUUGCUGCGGCUGUGGUCAUUUUUUUCACUAUCCUCUUUGGCAUUGUGGCUCGAUGGAAGCGGAUUGCAAAGGUAAGAACAUCAGAAGAGAGCCUGGCUGCUGGAUCAGACCUAAGGGGGGCCCCAUCGGGUCUAACAUCCUGUUCUCACAGUAGCCAACUAGAUGCCCCAAUUGGAAGCCCACAGGCAGGAUCUGAGCACAACAGCAUCACUCUCCCCCCUGUGGUUUCCAACAGCUGGUAUUCAGAGGCCUCCUACCUCAGACACUGGCCCGCCUCCUCCAUUAUGAAUUUGUCUAGUCCUCUUUUAAAGCCAUCCAAGUUGAUAGCCAUCACGUCCUCUUUUUGGAAGCAAAAUCCAUAGUUUAUCUAUACGCUGUGAGAAGAAGUCCUUUCUUUUGUCUGUCCAGACACUGAUUGUUUUAUUUUGGAAGCUAAAGAGGCAUCCAAGUGUAUCACCACCCUUUACUUGAUGAUAGAGACUAGCGGGGAAACCCUUUGUGUUGCCUCAGCCAGCAGGGGGCGCCAUUCAGGGAACACCUUUCUGACCCAGCCAUGGUGUUGUUCUUCAGACUGAAAUGCCUCCCACCCACAGUCUUUUCCCCCAAAAGGAAGGCGUUGUCAUCUUCUGCUUGCUUUGCUGAAAGUGGGGAAGUAGCAAGGAGCGAGCAGGGUUGAAAGGAGGUGGGGGAGACACUUCCAGACACUCCAUUUCAACAGGGCUGAGGGCUCCGUGUUAGGUGGGAACCAAAGCUGCUCCUGUGUUGUAGCUCAGCCGUUGAGAGCGUGGUGCUGAAAACACCAAGGUCACGGGUAACUGGUGCUGGCCAGCUGCAUAUUCCUGCGAUGCGGGGGGUUAGACUUCACGAUCCUCGGGGUCCCUUCCAACUCUACACUUCCAUGAUUCUAUGUAUACAUUUGCAGGAUUUCUAUUUGCUACUAAUUCCUAGCACAGAGGUAGCUCUCCUGUGUCCCUGCAGAUGCUGUUGGGACUCCAAUUCCCAUCUUUUCUGGCUGCUGGGAGUUGGGGUCUCAACCAUACCUGGAAAGCCACAGGUGAGCCAUCACUGCCCUACCAAAACCACAGACUCAGCUCCCAUCCACCGAAAUCAGUGGCCGAAAUAAAUAUACAAAAGCUGACAAGGUUGUCGCAUUUAUGCCUUUCUCUUUUCCACCCUUUUUAUUUUAUUUUUAGUGCUUUGGGAUAGGGUGCAACUCAUCAAGCAACACAUCUCUGUGAAGGAAUUCCUCCACUGGAGCAAGCAAAGGAGCACUCCUGCCCAUCACCGCAGAUGACAAGACCCUUUCAGCUUUUAAGGGCCCUGGUUCAGAGGCCUCUUUGAUAGCAUUUAAAAGUUGCACACCUUCUGCUGUCUGACAGUUGCUCCUGUUGGUUUAAGUGCAUAUAUUUGGCUUACAAUUGAGAAAUUCAGGCUGGCCAGACCUUUGGUGUUGUACCAAGGUAAAAUAUUAACUUCAGUCUUGCCAUUCAAAUGCCCAAACUGCAAAUCGGGAAUGGGGAAUCUGUGUUUCUCGCUGCCAACCCCCUUCAUCACUGACUGCAGGCUAUACUGGCUGAGGCUGAUGAGAGGUGGAGUCCGAACGCCACCCAGAGGACCAAAGGCUUCCCUGUCCUUGGUGUAAACAUGCAGAUUAUUUUAAAAAGGAAAUAUAGAGUUAACACACUGGUUGCUGUUUUGCUACAGAGCCAGGUUCAAGGUCUCCAUGUUAACUCACAAAGCUCUAAACAACUUGGGACCAAUGUACCUUAAGGACUGCCUGAUCCUUUAUUCUCCACCUUGAUUGCUGAGAUCCUCUGGUGGGCCACUUCUUGUGGGUGGGUGGGUGGGUUCUCCAUGCCCCAGAAGUUCAGCUGGCCUUCACUAGGGACUGAACCUUUCAUGUAGUGGGCUCUGCCCUAUGGAACUCUCUGCCAGUAGAGGUUCAGCAGGAAUCACCCUAGCCUUCCUUCAGACGUCUCUUGAAAUUUGCACUUUUUAAACACAAUAUGAUUUUGUCCCUUUUCACCAACCAGAACUGAUUGCUGUUUUGUUGGUUUUUCUAAUUAUGUUUUACAUAUAGUUAUGUAAACAAUCAUAAAUAUUCAAACAAACAAAUAAAUGCAGUAUCGAUACAAAUACCUGUGUGAGGAAUGA